GGGUCUCAUUCCACGAGAUCCGUGCCGCAGCUAACGCAUUAAGUUCCCCGCCUGGGGAGUACGGCCGCAAGGCUAAAACUCAAAGGAAUUGACGGGGGCCCGCACAAGCGGCGGAGCAUGUGGAUUAAUUCGAUGCAACGCGAAGAACCUUACCAAGGCUUGACAUAUACCGGAAACAUCCAGAGAUGGGUGCCCCGCAAGGUCGGUAUACAGGUGGUGCAUGGUUGUCGUCAGCUCGUGUCGUGAGAUGUUGGGUUAAGUCCCGCAACGAGCGCAACCCUCGUUCUAUGUUGCCAGCACGUAAUGGUGGGGACUCAUAGGAGACUGCCGGGGUCAACUCGGAGGAAGGUGGGGAUGAGGUCAAAUCAUCAUGCCCCUUAUGUCUUGGGCUUCACACAUGCUACAAUGGCCGGUACAAAGGGCUGCGAAACCGCAAGGUGGAGCGAAUCCCAAAAAACCGGUCUCAGUUCGGAUUGGGGUCUGCAACUCGACCCCAUGAAGUUGGAGUCGCUAGUAAUCGCAGAUCAGCAACGCUGCGGUGAAUACGUUCCCGGGCCUUGUACACACCGCC
Molecule: ribosomal RNA, 571 nt
Filed under: uncultured bacterium
Lineage: Bacteria
Description: bacterial SSU rRNA
Rfam family: Bacterial small subunit ribosomal RNA
Source: RNAcentral